Molecule: ribosomal RNA, 518 nt
Filed under: uncultured soil bacterium
Lineage: Bacteria
Description: bacterial SSU rRNA
Rfam family: Bacterial small subunit ribosomal RNA
Source: RNAcentral
AGAACGAACGCUGGCGGCGUGGAUAAGACAUGCAAGUCGAAUGGGACAUAUUUGGUAGCAAUAUUGAGUAUGUUCAGUGGCGUAAGGGUGCGUAACACGUGGGUAAUUUGCCGUGAAGACUGGGAUAACUUGCUGAAAGGCGAGCUAAUACCGGAUGUGGUCACGAGAAGGCAUCUUCUUGGGACUGAAGUUGGGGACCGCAAGGCCUAACACUUUACGAUAAGCCCGCGGCCUAUCAGCUAGUUGGUGAGGUAACGGCUCACCAAGGCUAAGACGGGUAGCUGGUCUGAGAGGACGACCAGCCACACUGGAACUGAGACACGGUCCAGACACCUAACGGGUGGCAGCAGUCGAGAAUUUUCACAAUGGGGAAACCCUGAUGGAGCGACGCCGCGUGGGAUGAAUGCUUCGGCCCGUAACCCCUGUCAUUUGCGAACAACCUCUUGACCUAACACGUGAAGAGUCUGAUUGUAAGCGUAAAGGAGGAAACGGGACGGACCGUAACUCCGGACUACCCG